AGUAGUUUGACUCCGUGGCUCGAGGACGAACGCUGGCGGCGUGCUUAACACAUGCAAGUCGAACGAUGAACCAGGGCUUGCCCUGGAAAUUAGUGGCGAACGGGUGAGUAACACGUGGGCAACCUGCCCCAGACACCGGGAUAACCAUCCGAAAGGAUGGCUAAUACCGGAUAUGACCACUUUGGGCAUCCAACGGUGGUGGAAAGGAUUCUGGUCUGGGAUGGGCCCGCGGCCUAUCAGCUAGUUGGUGGGGUAAUGGCCUACCAAGGCGACGACGGGUAGCCGGCCUGAGAGGGCGACCGGCCACACUGGGACUGAGACACGGCCCAGACUCCUACGGGAGGCAGCAGUGGGGAAUAUUGCGCAAUGGGCGAAAGCCUGACGCAGCGACGCCGCGUGAGGGACGAAGGUCUUCGGAUUGUAAACCUCUUUCAGCAGGGACGAAGCGAAAGUGACUGUACCUGCAGAAGAAGCACCGGCUAACUACGUG
This 490-nucleotide ribosomal RNA is filed under the name uncultured bacterium. RNAcentral's name for it is "bacterial SSU rRNA". It matches the Rfam family "Bacterial small subunit ribosomal RNA", at positions 1 to 507 of the family's 1533-position model. The record is from RNAcentral.